Molecule: long non-coding RNA, 171 nt
Organism: Drosophila nasuta
Lineage: Eukaryota; Metazoa; Arthropoda; Insecta; Diptera; Drosophilidae
Exons: 3
Source: RefSeq, a predicted model, not a curated record
GAAUGAAAGUGCUGUUGUAUCUGGUUGGGGUCAAACAACUUUCAAAGGUCCACAAUCGAAUCAUUUGCAGUAUUACAAUAUUUUUCCGACUUCAUUUAUCUGCUUGAAACCAAGUCAAAGUACUCCAUGUCAUGGCGACUCUGGUGGUCCAUUGGCAAUUCGGAAUGAAGA